CCUCCAGAAUUCCACUCUUCACUCCUCCUCUUCUCCUCAUCUUCAUCCGUCGUUAUCCAUCUCUCGACCCCGAAUCGCAUGGCAUCGGCUGGCACUUGAUCGAUCGACAUGAGCUAUUGAGGGAGUCUCUGGUCUCCACCUCACUUGUGCCCUAGCCUCUCCUCGUUGGCCGAUUUCCCUUUCGCUCUACCGUCUCCAUCUCUACCACGCCAACCACCGCCUGACACCGUCGCUCAAUUGCGUCGACGUCACUUGACUAUUGCCACCCUUUUUCCAGAGUAAUUUUGAGCCAUGCCCUAACUCCCAUCGCCGAUGCUGACUGCUGAUCCACCGACGCUAACUCUCGAUUCACCAUCUCCGAUCCCUAGAUUUGCUACCGCUGCACCUCCCACUCGAGCACUGAUGAAGCUGUUAGCUAUUGUGUGUCGCCAUCAAUGGGAGAAGGAGAAUUGACAAAGGAUUAGUGCAAUCCUUUUCCCUUGCUCGUGGAGUCGGGGGGAGCCGCGGAUCUUACAUUAGAGAGGUCCACGACCUCUUCUUCUUCACCAGAUCUGGCAACCAUGACUGUUGAUGCCACAUCCAGCCACCAACCACAACACCUAGCCCCUGUGCCGCUACAGAUCGUUGUGAGCCAUUACCAGAAGAGCUGUGGGCUGCCGCCAGUGAACUACUGCCAUUGUUGCGGUCACCACCAACCGCUAGUUUCUUCUGGUUUAUCAAGCGAUAGUAGGUCGAUGAAAUAAGGAUCAUUUGAUUGAGUUGUAAUGGAUUGGUUAUUGGGAAAAAUCCUCCAAAUGGCACUGUUCUGGCCAAUAGAGUGCAACUGUGAUUGAUCCAGCCAGAAAUUAGGGAUCGAUUAAGGGGGCAACAGUUUCAUUGAGCUAUGGUCAGUUUUCCAGUAGUAAUUGUUCCGGCCGUAAGUCAACAAUAAAGCACACUGGAAUUAGAGAACAGGUAGAUGAUAUAUGGACACUUGGAGGUCCUGACUGUUGGUCUCACGUCACAUUCGAGGACGGUUUUCUAGUUUAGUUUCCCAUUUUAUUUGUGUUUUGAAUUUGUGAACUUGGUAUUGUAAUAACCCAUCGUGGACUUGGAGUUUUGACUUGUGAUAUCUUGUAUUUGGUUUGUUGUCGUAGUGUCAAGCUGGGUAGGCUCGUAGUUAGUUGUAUUGUGGUUUUACAUUCGAUAUUUUGUCUUUCGCUAUGUUUUGUUUCAA
Zingiber officinale is the source of this 1216-nucleotide long non-coding RNA. RefSeq lists it as uncharacterized. The transcript has 4 exons. Lineage: Eukaryota; Viridiplantae; Streptophyta; Magnoliopsida; Zingiberales; Zingiberaceae. The record is from RefSeq and is a predicted model, not a curated record.